GACGAACGCUGGCGGCGUGCUUAACACAUGCAAGUCGAACGAUGAAGCCUAGCUUGCUAGGUGGAUUAGUGGCGAACGGGUGAGUAAUACGUGAGUAACCUACCUUUAACUCUGGGAUAAGCCUGGGAAACUGGGUCUAAUACCGGCUACGACCAAUCUCCGCAUGGGGUGUUGGUGGAAAGCGUUAUGUAGUGGUUAUAGAUGGGCUCACGGCCUAUCAGCUUGUUGGUGAGGUAACGGCUCACCAAGGCGACGACGGGUAGCCGGCCUGAGAGGGUGACCGGCCACACUGGGACUGAGACACGGCCCAGACUCCUACGGGAGGCAGCAGUGGGGAAUAGUGAACAAUGGGCGAAAGCCUGAUGCAGCGACGCCGCGUGAGGGAUGAAGGCCUUCGGGUUGUAAACCUCUGUUAGCAGGGAAGAAGAGAAAUUGACGGUACCUGCAGAGAAAGCGCCGGAUAACUACGUG
RNAcentral lists this ribosomal RNA (471 nucleotides) under uncultured bacterium. RNAcentral describes it as "partial 16S ribosomal RNA". It matches the Rfam family "Bacterial small subunit ribosomal RNA", at positions 28 to 507 of the family's 1533-position model. The record is from RNAcentral.